RNAcentral lists this long non-coding RNA (1149 nucleotides) under Physcomitrium patens. RNAcentral describes it as "long non-coding RNA (PPAT_LNC000009)". The record is from RNAcentral. Lineage: Eukaryota; Viridiplantae; Streptophyta; Bryopsida; Funariales; Funariaceae.
UUCGGAUGACUUGGGUUUUAUGAAAUAAAAUGGGGUUUACGUUUGGGUGAUUUCAAGAGUUUUGUAGUAGAUCUACAAAUAAAAUUUUGUGGAUUUAUGGUUAUAGUUGUGUUUAAUAUGUAUUGUGAAUUUGAGCUUGAUCUAACAAAUGAGUUGAGGGAUAUUGAGGUUUAAGUAGGUCAAGGUCUCAGAAAGUAGAAUUUUAGGUCUAGUGGGGAUUUUUGAGAUUUCUUGCAAUAAAUUGAUUGGAUUAGAGUGAAACUUAUGUAAGAGAAUAUUAGACUUAUUUUUCUAUAUGUAUGAGAAUUUUGAGAUUAAUAAAACAUUGAAAAGGAGAGAUAUUAGCUCUCGAAGAUUGGCAUCAAGAUUGGAGAAGGAGGCCGGCCAAUACCCAAACACAUUUUUGAGGUUAUCGUCAAUUUGAUAAAUCCGAUCCUUAUCAAUUUUUUUGUGCUUGUUUUUAACUUAUUUUUUUAGAAGUGUGCAAAUUUUGAAUUAAGAUCAACGAUUUAUUCAUUAGUUUUUGAGGUUUAAAUCUAUUAUAGGAAUUAUUAGGAUUUGGUUUAGGAUUUGGUUAGGGUUUGGUUUGGGGUUUAGGGUUUGGAUUAGGAUUUGAUUUAGGAUUUAGGAUUUGGAUUAGGAUUUGGUUUAGGAUUUAGGAUUUGGAUUAGGGUUUGAUUAGGGUUUGAUUUAGGGUUUGGUUAGGAUUUUAUUUAAGGUUUGUUUAGGAUUUGAUUUAGGAUUUAGGAUUUUAUUAAGAUUUAAGAUUAAAUUAGUUUUGGCCUAAAGUUUGAAUGAAGUUCAAUAGGAUUUUAACUAGAAUUAAAUUAAGAUUGAAUUGAGAUGUAUUUGAAUGAUAUUUGUGUUCUUUCUAAUAUUUUUUUUAGAAUUCUUAUUGUUUGUUUGAAAUUUCUUUGAGGUUUUUUUGAAUUUGAUUAAGCUUGCUUAGCAUUAUUAUAGUCUAAUUAGAGCAUUGUUAGUAUUCUAUUAGAAUUAAGAUUUUGUUAUUGUAAUUUCUAUUUUUUCUUCUAUAGCCAAGUGCUCGGAGCAUUUUCAAACAAGACUUCACAUAUUACGACAAUAUAUUUGCAUAGGUGGUAAUAGGGAUCUAAAAUUAAUUAAUGCCAUUGAAUUAAUGUUUUUCACUUC